Molecule: ribosomal RNA, 498 nt
Filed under: uncultured bacterium
Lineage: Bacteria
Description: partial 16S ribosomal RNA
Rfam family: Bacterial small subunit ribosomal RNA
Source: RNAcentral
ACUCAAAGGAAUUGACGGGGGCCCGCACAAGCGGUGGAGCAUGUGGUUUAAUUCGAUGCAACCCGAAAAACCUUACCUACCUUUGAAUCCUCGGAAGCUACUAGAGAUAGUGGUGUGCCUUCGGGAACCGAGUGACAGGUGCUGCAUGGUUGUCGUCAGCUCGUGUCGUGAGAUGUUGGGUUAAGUCCCGUAACGAGCGCAACCCUUGUCCUUAGUUGCCAGCGCGUAAUGGCGGGAACUUUAAGGAGACUGCCGGUGAUAAACCGGAGGAAGGUGGGGAUGACGUCAAAUCAUCAUGGCCCUUACAGGUAGGGCUACACACGUGCUACAAUGGCCGGUACAAAGGGAUGCCAACCCGCGAGGGGGAGCUAACCUCAAAAAGCCGGUCGUAGUCCGGAUUGGAGUCUGCAACUCGACUCCAUGAAGCUGGAAUCGCUAGUAAUCGUGGAUCAGCAUGCCACGGUGAAUACGUUCUCGGGCCUUGUACACACCGCCCGU